RNAcentral lists this unclassified non-coding RNA (331 nucleotides) under soil metagenome. RNAcentral's name for it is "partial contains 5.8S ribosomal RNA, internal transcribed spacer 2, and large subunit ribosomal RNA". The stretch from base 1 to 120 matches the Rfam family "5.8S ribosomal RNA", at positions 35 to 154 of the family's 154-position model. The record is from RNAcentral.
GAUGAAGAACGUAGCGAAAUGCGAUAAGUAAUGCGAAUUGCAGAUUUCAGUGAAUCAUCGAAUCUUUGAACGCACAUUGCGCCCCCUGGUAUUCCGGGGGGCAUGCCUGUUCGAGCGUCAUUUCACCACUCAAGCCUCGCUUGGUAUUGGGCAACGCGGUCCGCCGCGUGCCUCAAAUCGUCCGGCUGGGUCUUCUGUCCCCUAAGCGUUGUGGAAACUAUUCGCUAAAGGGUGUUCGGGAGGCUACGCCGUAAAACAACCCCAUUUCUAAGGUUGACCUCGGAUCAGGUAGGGAUACCCGCUGAACUUAAGCAUAUCAAUAAGCGGAGGA